Long non-coding RNA from Nilaparvata lugens (brown planthopper), 1194 nucleotides. RefSeq lists it as uncharacterized. The record is from RefSeq and is a predicted model, not a curated record. The transcript has 3 exons. NCBI's taxonomy places the organism in Eukaryota, Metazoa, Arthropoda, Insecta, Hemiptera, Delphacidae.
UCAUUUAUCAACAAGAGAUUCUUAGUCAUUAAAACACAUGAACGUUUAGCUUAAUAUAACUUGAUUGAACAAUGCGGUUUUAUCAUUUGGCAGAUAAUUCUACUUCUUUUUCUUUAGAUAACAUAUUAAUAAUGAUAAUGUACUUUUUAUAAUAUCUUACACAUAAUUUACAUAUUCAUGACACUUGAAUAUUUUGAAAAAUGACGGUUUUGUAGGUUAUGAUUCAUCAGGCAUUGGUUGUUUGGGUUCAUGGCAGUGGAUGAUCGAUUUUAUUGGAUUUCUAUUAACUCAUCUGUCACCAUUUUGUGAUCUUUGGGUUGUUUGGUAAGUUGGCUUUUGAUUUAAAUGAUACUAUUUAAUUAGUUUGCGAGUGAUGAAGAAUGUAUAGAUGGCUUCUGAAUUUUCUAUCUCUCUUAUUUCAGGUGCUGGUUUAGCUGAUCGAAGUGGAUAACUCAUCAACUGAAUAACUGUGUUGUGUUGUGGUUGGAAUAGGUACAUAUUCUGCAGAUCAGGGAGCUGGGAGAGGAAAUCAUCCAGGCUCUUAAGGUCCCACAUCCGACUUUGGAAGAGCAUCAGUGGCUCACCGAGUAGGAGACUAGACAAUUGGAAACGCCAUACUAGCCAAGAGAUUGGUGGCGGCGGACAACGGCUGGCUCGCUACAUGGGAUGGCGAUUGGGUUGCAGGCUUCCCUGUUCCCUCGGCGGUAUUUGGAGCAGUCUACGGAGACAUAAAUGGCGGGUUGGACGCCCUCACUCCUUCAUCUCCACCGGCUGGACUCUCAUCUGUAUGCAGGGCGUCGGCGGCAUUCUCGAUCCUAGUAGAAGAUAAUUGUGCCAGGUUUUGGGGGUCUAAGUUAGCAGAGCAUAUACUGCCUCCUUCUCUCUCCCGUGGUGUCUCCAUGGUAUUGUCUUGAGGGUGUUGAUCAGUUGGGGUCAGGUUUGUAGGAUUUUGGGGGUGGUCACUAAAUUAGGAAAUUUGUGAAUUAACUGGGACUGAUUCAUGGUGACGAUACUAUGUGGGAUACUUUGAAUAAGUUGUCAAGUGUAGUACCAAAUUUCAGGAAUAUUGAAAUGAACAUAUUGACAGUGCCUAUUUCAGAUAGAAUUGUGUGGUGUUAAGAACUUCAAGUGUCAUGUACAUAAAAUACAGAUACAUAGACCAUCAAUGUGACUCAGGUAUGGCAGCAAACAUAG